This 347-nucleotide ribosomal RNA is filed under the name uncultured Smithella sp. RNAcentral's name for it is "bacterial SSU rRNA". It matches the Rfam family "Bacterial small subunit ribosomal RNA", at positions 1034 to 1382 of the family's 1533-position model. Lineage: Bacteria; Pseudomonadati; Thermodesulfobacteriota; Syntrophia; Syntrophales; Smithellaceae. The record is from RNAcentral.
ACAGGUGCUGCAUGGCUGUCGUCAGCUCGUGUCGUGAGAUGUUGGGUUAAGUCCCGCAACGAGCGCAACCCUUAUCUUUAAUUGCCAGCAUUCAGUUGGGCACUUUAAAGAGACUGCCGGUGUUAAACCGGAGGAAGGUGGGGAUGACGUCAAGUCCUCAUGGCCUUUAUGCUUAGGGCUACACACGUGCUACAAUGGGUGGUACAAAGAGAAGCCAACUCGCGAGAGCGCGCCAAUCUCAAAAAGCCAUCCUCAGUUCGGAUUGGAGUCUGCAACUCGACUCCAUGAAGUUGGAAUCGCUAGUAAUCGCGGAUCAGCACGCCGCGGUGAAUACGUUCCCGGGCCUU